Pelobates cultripes (western spadefoot toad) is the source of this 366-nucleotide non-coding RNA. The record is from the annotation of a GenBank genome assembly. NCBI's taxonomy places the organism in Eukaryota, Metazoa, Chordata, Amphibia, Anura, Pelobatidae.
GAGCUCUGUGACAGGAGGGUGCUCUGUGACAGGGGGAGACAGGAGGGAGCUCUGUGACAGGAGGGAGCUCUGUGACAGGAGGGAGCUCUGUGACAGGAGGGAGCUCUGUGACUGGGGGAGAUAGGAGGGAGCUCUGUGACUGGGGGAGAUAGGAGGGAGCUCUGUGACAGGAUAGGAGGGAGCUCUGUGACAGGAUAGGAGGGAGCUCUGUGACGGGAUAGGAGGGAGCUCUGUGACUGGGGGAGAUAGGAGGGAGCUCUGUGACAGGAGGGAGCUCUGUGACUGGGGGAGAUAGGAGGGAUCUCUGUGACAGGAUAGGAGGGAGCUCUGUGACUGGGGGAGAUAGGAGGGAGCUCUGUGACAGGA